ACGCUGGCGGCGUGCUUAACACAUGCAAGUCGAACGAUGAAGCCUAGCUUGCUAGGUGGAUUAGUGGCGAACGGGUGAGUAAUACGUGAGUAACCUACCUUUAACUCUGGGAUAAGCCUGGGAAACUGGGUCUAAUACCGGAUACGACCAAUCUCCGCAUGGGGUGUUGGUGGAAAGCGUUAUGUAGUGGUUAUAGAUGGGCUCACGGCCUAUCAGCUUGUUGGUGAGGUAACGGCUCACCAAGGCGACGACGGGUAGCCGGCCUGAGAGGGUGACCGGCCACACUGGGACUGAGACACGGCCCAGACUCCUACGGGAGGCAGCAGUGGGGAAUAUUGCACAAUGGGCGCAAGCCUGAUGCAGCGACGCCGCGUGAGGGAUGACGGCCUUCGGGUUGUAAACCUCUGUUAGCAGGGGAGAAGAGAGAUUGACGGUACCUGCAGAGAAAGCGCCGGCUAACUACGUGCCAGCAGCCGCGGUAAUACGUAGGGCGCGAGCGUUGUCCGGAAUUAUUGGGCGUAGAGAGCUUGUAGGCGGUUUGUCGCGUCUGCUGUGAAAGGCCGGAGCUUAACUCCGUGUAUUGCAGUGGGUACGGGCAGACUAGAGUGCAGUAGGGGAGACUGGAAUUCCUGGUGUAGCGGUGGAAUGCGCAGAUAUCAGGAGGAACACCGAUGGCGAAGGCAGGUCUCUGGGCUGUAACUGACGCUGAGAAGCGAAAGCAUGGGGAGCGAACAGGAUUAGAUACCCUGGUAGUCCAUGCCGUAAACGUUGGGCACUAGGUGUGGGGGACAUUCCACGUUUUCCGCGCCGUAGCUAACGCAUUAAGUGCCCCGCCUGGGGAGUACGGCCGCAAGGCUAAAACUCAAAGAAAUUGACGGGGGCCCGCACAAGCGGCGGAGCAUGCCGAUAA
This 910-nucleotide ribosomal RNA is filed under the name uncultured bacterium. RNAcentral describes it as "bacterial SSU rRNA". It matches the Rfam family "Bacterial small subunit ribosomal RNA", at positions 33 to 948 of the family's 1533-position model. The record is from RNAcentral.